GCCGCGGUAAUACGUAGGGUGCGAGCGUUAAUCGGAAUUACUGGGCGUAAAGCGUGCGCAGGCGGUGAUCCAAGUCAGAUGUGAAAUCCCCGGGCUUAACCUGGGAACUGCAUUUGAAACUAGGUCGCUAGAGUAUGGCAGAGGGGGGUAGAAUUCCACGUGUAGCAGUGAAAUGCGUAGAGAUGUGGAGGAAUACCGAUGGCGAAGGCAGCCCCCUGGGUCAAUAGCUGACGCUCAUGCACGAAAGCGUGGGGAGCAAACAGGAUUAGAUACCCUGGUAGUCCACGCCCUAAACGAUGUCAASBVGUUGUCGGAGGGGGAGACCUCCUUUGGUAAC
This 337-nucleotide ribosomal RNA is filed under the name uncultured bacterium. RNAcentral describes it as "bacterial SSU rRNA". It matches the Rfam family "Bacterial small subunit ribosomal RNA", at positions 514 to 847 of the family's 1533-position model. The record is from RNAcentral.